RNAcentral lists this long non-coding RNA (201 nucleotides) under Malus domestica (apple). RNAcentral describes it as "long non-coding RNA (MDOM_LNC018372)". The record is from RNAcentral. Lineage: Eukaryota; Viridiplantae; Streptophyta; Magnoliopsida; Rosales; Rosaceae.
AAAAACCCUCCGAGGGGUGGAGAUAGAGAGAGCCGAGAGAGUGAGGGAGAGAGAGUUGCGGGAAAGGUGAGGGAGAAGAGAGAACUGAGAGAAGAGAGAGGGAGACCAGAAAACAUAAAAUAAAACAAGGUGGGCCCCACGGGCUCACCAAUUAAGGCUUUAAAACAAUUUUUAAAUAAAAUGGGGUUGGGGUGUUUCAAU